RNAcentral lists this ribosomal RNA (254 nucleotides) under uncultured bacterium. RNAcentral describes it as "partial 16S ribosomal RNA". It matches the Rfam family "Bacterial small subunit ribosomal RNA", at positions 524 to 776 of the family's 1533-position model. The record is from RNAcentral.
UACGUAGGGGGCAAGCGUUGUCCGGAUUUAUUGGGCGUAAAAGGCUUGUAGGUGGCCACGCCAAGUCGGAUGUGAAAUCUCCCGGCUCAACUGGGAGGGGUCAUUCGAUACUGGCGGGCUCGAGGCCGGUAGGGGGAAGUGGAAUUCCCGGUGUAGUGGUGGAAUGCGUAGAUAUCGGGAGGAACACCAGUGGCGAGGGCGGCUUCCUGGACCGGUUCUGACACUGAGGAGCGAAAGCGUGGGGAGCGAUCCGG